Molecule: non-coding RNA, 35 nt
Organism: Oscillatoriales cyanobacterium
Lineage: Bacteria; Bacillati; Cyanobacteriota; Cyanophyceae; Oscillatoriales
Source: Rfam
GUUUCCGUCCCCUUGCGGGGAAUGGGUAAUGAAAC